GAUGAACGCUGGCGGCGUGCCUAAUACAUGCAAGUCGAGCGAACAGAUAAGGAGCUUGCUCCUUUGACGUUAGCGGCGGACGGGUGAGUAACACGUGGGUAACCUACCUAUAAGACUGGAAUAACUCCGGGAAACCGGGGCUAAUGCCGGAUAACAUGUUGAACCGCAUGGUUCUACAGUGAAAGGCGGCUUUGCUGUCACUUAUAGAUGGACCCGCGCCGUAUUAGCUAGUUGGUGAGGUAACGGCUCACCAAGGCACGAUACGUAGCCGACCUGAGAGGGUGAUCGGCCACACUGGAACUGAGACACGGUCCAGACUCCUACGGGAGGCAGCAGUAGGGAAUCUUCCGCAAUGGGCGAAAGCCUGACGGAGCAACGCCGCGUGAGUGAUGAAGGUCUUCGGAUCGUAAAACUCUGUUAUUAGGGAAGAACAAAUGCGUAAGUAACUGUGCGCGUCUUGACGGUACCUAAUCAGAAAGCCACGGCUAACUACGUG
Molecule: ribosomal RNA, 496 nt
Filed under: uncultured bacterium
Lineage: Bacteria
Description: partial 16S ribosomal RNA
Rfam family: Bacterial small subunit ribosomal RNA
Source: RNAcentral